Microtus oregoni (creeping vole) is the source of this 1074-nucleotide long non-coding RNA. RefSeq lists it as uncharacterized. NCBI's taxonomy places the organism in Eukaryota, Metazoa, Chordata, Mammalia, Rodentia, Cricetidae. The transcript has 5 exons. The record is from RefSeq and is a predicted model, not a curated record.
CGCGGGAUCAAAAAGGCCACACCGGGACGGAAUGCUUUCCUCCAAGAACUGGCUGUCAAGCUUGCGUAGCGGUGCUUUUCCUGACUGAGCCACCUCACACAACCAGUUCUUACUGCACAGCUGUGCUGGUUAAUCUGUCAACUUCACACAACCUACAGUCAUCUGAGAAGAGGCAACCUUCAUUCAGAAAAUGCUAGCAUCAGACUGACCUGUAAGGAGGGCCCAGCCACCGUAGGUGGUGCCCCCACCCCCGGCAGACAGUCCUGGGCUGUGGAAUAAUUGGAAUUGCAGUAAGCCAGUAAGCAGCGUCCUCCAUGGUAUCUGUUUUAGUUUCUGCCUCCAGCUCCUGUCCUGAGUUCCUGCCCUCAGUGAUGGAUGUCCAGAAGUGUGCUUCAGCAUCUGGACAUGAUUCUAGCAACUUCCCAAACACAGAGAAGAUGAAGGGAGUCUCACGAGAACAACAUUGUCCACGCAGAACUGGAAGCAGACACAGCUGUGCACACCUAUAGUCUCAGGAGCAGGAAAUACGCUAGACCCUUCAAGGACAGAAUCACUCUCCAAAGGACACCCCACUUCAGUAAAGUAACCGACAGAGGGCGAGGGAGAUAGCCCACAGGAGGCUGCAGUGGUCGUCGCCACUCUCCGAGCUUCAUCAUGCCGCCCAAGGAUGACAAGAAUAAGAAAGAUGCCAGAAAGUCAGCCAAAAAAGACAAAGGCCCAGUAAAUAAGUCUGGUGGCAAGGCCAAAAAGAAGUGGUCCAAAGGCAAAGUUCGGGACAAGCUCAACAAUCUAGUCCUGUUUGACAAGGCUACAUACGACAAACUCUGUAAGGAAGUGCCCAACUAUAAACUUAUUCUGUAAGGAAGUUCCCAACUAUAAACUUAUUACUCCAGCCGUGGUCUCUGAGAGACUGAAGAUUCACGGUUCCUUGGCCAGGGCAGCUCUUCAGGAGCUCCUUAGUAAAGGGCUUAUCAAGCUGGUUUCAAAGCACAGAGCCCAAGUAAUUUACACCAGAAACACAAAGGGUGGAGAUGCCCCAGCUGCUGGUGAAGAUGCAUGAACAGGUUCAAUCAG